CCUUGACAUCCAGAGAACUUAGCAGAGAUUGCUUUGGUGCCUUCGGGAACUCUGAGACAGGUGCUGCAUGGCUGUCGUCAGCUCGUGUUGUGAAAUGUUGGGUUAAGUCCGCAACGAGCGCAACCCUUAUCCUUUGUUGCCAGCGGUUCGGCCGGGAACUCAAAGGAGACUGCCGGUGAUAAACCGGAGGAAGGUGGGGAUGACGUCAAGUCAUCAUGGCCCUUACGGCCAGGGCUACACACGUGCUACAAUGGCGCAUACAAAGAGAAGCGACCUCGCGAGAGCAAGCGGACCUCAUAAAGUGCGUCGUAGUCCGGAUUGGAGUCUGCAACUCGACUCCAUGAAGUCGGAAUCGCUAGUAAUCGUAGAUCAGAAUGCUACGGUGAAUACGUUCCCGGGCCUUGUACACACCGCCCGUCACACCAUGGGAGUGGGUUGCAAAAGAAGUAGGUAGCUUAACCUUCGGGAGGGCGCUUACCACUUUGUGAUUCAUGACUGGGGUGAAGUCGUAACAAGGUAAGCGUACGUGU
RNAcentral lists this ribosomal RNA (530 nucleotides) under uncultured bacterium. RNAcentral describes it as "bacterial SSU rRNA". It matches the Rfam family "Bacterial small subunit ribosomal RNA", at positions 979 to 1509 of the family's 1533-position model. The record is from RNAcentral.